Long non-coding RNA from Engraulis encrasicolus (European anchovy), 465 nucleotides. RefSeq lists it as uncharacterized. NCBI's taxonomy places the organism in Eukaryota, Metazoa, Chordata, Actinopteri, Clupeiformes, Engraulidae. The transcript has 4 exons. The record is from RefSeq and is a predicted model, not a curated record.
AGCCGUUCGCCUCAGUCAGCUCGGUCCUACUCUUCAGUCUCAUCUCGCUGGAAUAGUGUUGUCAUGUGUGAAGAUAUACACGAAAUUGAGACUUCUGGCACAGCGGCCUGCACUGUUCGAAGUCUGUAAGAUCAGUGCUGAAUUCAAAAGAAUCACCACAGUUCCCCUGCAAUCCAAGCAACUGUUGCUGAAUUGGCUGAUUUGUACAAGAUGCACCAUUUCUGAGGACUUCUGGCACAGUGGCCUGCACUGUUUAAAGUUCGCAAGGUAAGACAUUCAAUUCGGAUUGUCUUUAAUGUUUUUUGUGAAUUACAGCGUUUUAUCUCCUUUCUUGAAUGUGUGUGUGGCUUUCUCCUAAUGUUAAUGAUUUGAUUGUUAAAUCCUUUGGGCUCUUUAUGUCUUUUCAGAUCAGUGCUGAAUUGAAAAGAAUCACCACAGUCCCACUGCAAUGGCCUGCACUGUUCC